GCAGUGAGGAAUAUUGGACAAUGGGUGAGAGCCUGAUCCAGCCAUCCCGCGUGAAGGACUAAGGCCCUAUGGGUUGUAAACUUCUUUUAUACUGGGAUAAACCUACUUACGUGUAAGUAGCUGAAGGUACAGUAUGAAUAAGCACCGGCUAACUCCGUGCCAGCAGCCGCGGUAAUACGGAGGGUGCAAGCGUUAUCCGGAUUUAUUGGGUUUAAAGGGUCCGUAGGCGGAUCCGUAAGUCAGUGGUGAAAUCUCAUAGCUUAACUAUGAAACUGCCAUUGAUACUGCGGGUCUUGAGUGAGAUUGAGGUAGCUGGAAUAAGUAGUGUAGCGGUGAAAUGCAUAGAUAUUACUUAGAACACCAAUUGCGAAGGCAGGUUACCAAGUCUUAACUGACGCUGAUGGACGAAAGCGUGGGGAGCGAACAGGAUUAGA
RNAcentral lists this ribosomal RNA (434 nucleotides) under uncultured bacterium. RNAcentral's name for it is "bacterial SSU rRNA". It matches the Rfam family "Bacterial small subunit ribosomal RNA", at positions 351 to 782 of the family's 1533-position model. The record is from RNAcentral.